Molecule: ribosomal RNA, 539 nt
Filed under: uncultured bacterium
Lineage: Bacteria
Description: bacterial SSU rRNA
Rfam family: Bacterial small subunit ribosomal RNA
Source: RNAcentral
AGCGACGCCGCGUGGUGACGAAGGCCUUCGGGUUGUAAAGCCCUGUGGGGUAGAACGAACUGGCAUCGGGCUAAUAUCCCGGUGUCUUGACGGUACUGCCUUAGCAAGCAUCGGCUAACUCUGUGCCAGCAGCCGCGGUAAGACAGAGGAUGCGAACGUUGCUCGGAUUUACUGGGCGUAAAGCGCGUGUAGGCGGUCUCGUUAGUCGGGUGUGAAAGCCCCGGGCUCAACCCGGGAAGUGCACCCGAUACUGCGAGACUGGGGUACUGAAGAGGAGAGCGGAAUUCCCGGUGUAGAGGUGAAAAUUCGUAGAUAUCGGGAGGAACACCAGUGGCGAAGGCGGCUCUCUGGGCAGAUACCGACGCUGAGACGCGAAAGCGUGGGGAGCAAACAGGAUUAGAUACCCUGGUAGUCCACGCUGUAAACGAUGACGACUGGGUGUUGCAGGUAUUGACCCCUGCGGUGCCGAAGCCAACGCGUUAAGUCGUCCGCCUGGGAAGUACGGCCGCAAGGCUAAAACUCAAAGGAAUUGACGGGGG